UCCAUCAUUUGGGUCAUAUAUAGUUCAAUUCAGUGAAGCAGACAGGGGCUGUAAGGAAAUCUGGAGCUGAUCAAUGCCUUGUCUGGGAGGCUCACAAGCUGCUGAUAUAUGCUAGCAAAACUCAUGCCUCAACUCUACCUCGGGCACAGCGCAGGCCGGCUGACAACAAUAAUUCCAUUUUCUUAAAAAAAACUUAGUUUCAAUUGUGGGGAAGACGUCUUCCUUCCUACAGUAACUGCAACAUUUUUGACAAAGAUCCAACAUUCUGCCUGACGUAAUGCAACUUGUUCCGAGAGUGGUCUCCUUCGCUGCUGCUGGGCAGUUCCAAUGCAUCAUUAACAUCUGGAUCAAACGAAAACAUCUAUGAAACAGUUUUUCCUUUUUGAUGGCUUCAGUGAACAUUCAACGCUGUCGGCUUAUAAGCUUCUUCCAGCUGAAAUCUUCAUUCGAAUUCUCACAGGUUAGUAUAGUGGAAACAUUGGAGUUGGUAUUCAGUAAGGAUUGAAUAGAAUGCAAGAUCUAAUCCAGUCAAAGGUACCUUCUGACAUUCUGUCUAUAGUUCAUAAUAUUUUACUUUUAAAAGUAUUUUAAACCUUGAAAACCAACUGUUACAGCAAUAUUUCUGCAAUUCAUCACAGCUACAACCCACAGGAUACCAAAGAGAAAGUUUAACAGAUUAAAUGGUGGAUCUACAGGAAGGAUGGAAGAAGUGAGGCAAGAUGUGAAUUUGAAAAUGAAACAUUUACAGUGUUGCAUUUUCCAACCCCAGAAAACAGCUGAGAAAAAUGCGCAUGGUAUAACAGAGGUAUUUCCAGGAUGGUCUCUAUAGUGGUGGGAUAACUCCAGAGUAAUCCUCAAGGUUGUCACCAUGGAAGCCAUGCAUUAACUGAAUCAAGGGAUGCAAACCUCAACCAAAGGCAAGGGUCUGUGAAGCUCUCAAUGAUUAUGCAGGAAAUAUGAUAUCCAUUACACAUCAUUUUUAUUCUCAUCGUUGGUUGGUUGAGAAGUGAUGUGUGAAUGUCUGUACAUUGGUAAAGAUGCAAUGCCACAUCUGUGUUUAGAAAUGCUACACUUUGUACAUAUAAAGAGAAUGUGCACACUACACCCUCAGGGUGAAUAGGUUUUUCACUCCCCUGCAACAAGAAAACAAGUUUUGCUCCACACCACUGGCACUAUAUGUCAAAGGCAUCAACUAUGUUGCACUUAUACAAUAUAACUGACCCCUAGUUACUCAAAGUGUGGAAUCAGAAUCAAAUAUUAAGCUAGGUAGCCUUCAUGGUUUUUAUUGGUGGUAUUCCAAAUUUAUUAAAUUCAAUUUCACAGCUUGCCAUGGUAGAAUUUGAACUCAUAACCUCUGGAAUUGCUUGUCCAAAACCAUAAACAGUAGGAUCUGCAACCAGUAUAGUCUUUAACUGUUAAUUAAUAGAGACAUCAAUCACAAUCGGUGGUGUGCUCCAUCCCCACUGUGACUAACAUUCUUUGUGUAAUUGUCAAUAUAUUUUAGAUUUGGAUUCAAAGCAGCACUAAAUUUUAUUGAUCCAGUUACCUCAGUCAUGAUUAGUAAACCUUUGAUAUGAUUUUCUAAUAGAUGUGCCUUAGUAACAAGACACUUACACACACAAUACAUCUUUAAUGAUGAUGGACUAUGAACAGUAUUGCCUAACAUGACCAAUCAACAAUCACACAAGUCAUCACAAGGCUUCCCUCCAAGUUUUUGGUCAAUUUGUGUUAUAUUUAAUAGAAGAAUUAGCAUUUUCUUAGUGAUAUAGUUUAUCACCUUCACCUUUUUCUCCAUCAAAACUAACAUCCAUGUUAUUAUCUCAAUAAUAAAUCUCCCUGUGUUGUUCUUUUUAUUCUGUCUUAUAAAUAAUCCUAUGACAAGCCUUUAAUAGGUUAACCCACCCCACCGCCAAGUAAAACAAUAAAACAAUGAAAUGUUCUUCCCUGCACCCCUCUUCCCAAAACAACCCAUUCAAAUUCCAGGCAAAAAACAAGGGGCUGAAGGAAUUCAGAGGAAUGCAGCAUAUGAGGAGGGAAAAGAAAAGAGAUUUCAUAUCAAAACCCUUCUUCAAACUAAUGGACAGGGAGGAGAAAGCCUGCAGAAUGCAGUUUACUGUACAUUAUGUGUAGGAAGGAACUGCAGAUGCUGGUUUAAACCGAACAUAGACACAAUAUGCUGGAGUAACUCAGCGGGGCAGGCAGCAUUUCUGGAGAA
Long non-coding RNA from Amblyraja radiata (thorny skate), 2215 nucleotides. RefSeq lists it as uncharacterized. The record is from RefSeq and is a predicted model, not a curated record. The transcript is spliced from 4 exons. Lineage: Eukaryota; Metazoa; Chordata; Chondrichthyes; Rajiformes; Rajidae.